GAAGGCUGGAAUGUUACAGAAUAAGGUGUGUUUAGAGAGGGGUGCUUUCUGUUUAGUGGAUAGCACCUUCUGGCUCUGUCCUCACUGGAGAGGCAGAGGCCCUCCCUUGGGCCUAUUUUAUAAGGACCUUAAUCCCAUUCCUCACUUCCCAAGAGGCCACUUGCUAAAACCAUCAGUUUGGGAGUUAGAAUUUAGACCAUAGCGUAGGGCAUGUUUUUAAAGUUGCUUUCUUGGCCCUGGAAUGGCAAUGCAGUCAUCUGAACUGGUCUUAACCUACCAGGAACGGGCCUAUAUUUUGAAAAUAUUUCUCGUUAAGGGAGUAAAAUAAGUUUUAUGAGUUUUUUUGUUUAAGAAAGGAUUCAUUUAUUUACUCUGAUAUACUUACCCAUUUCUGUGAUGUCAGCCAUGGGUAGUGACCUAACAUUAAUUCAGCAGAUAUCUUUGUCUGCCUUGAUUCCUGCAUUCCCUAGGCUCCACAGCUAUUCACUUGUAUUGAUUCUGUUAACUUUUACACAUUAACUUUGAGCUGUGCCUCCGUCUUUUUAUCAUUUUGUGAGUAAAGAAUUUUAAUUUGCCAACAAAUCCUAAUAUGGACUUUGUCAAGUUGUGAAAUAAAGUGAUUUUUGGUAUGGAAA
RNAcentral lists this long non-coding RNA (635 nucleotides) under Pongo abelii (Sumatran orangutan). RNAcentral's name for it is "lincRNA". The record is from RNAcentral. Lineage: Eukaryota; Metazoa; Chordata; Mammalia; Primates; Hominidae.